UUCAGGGGUAAACCUGAGAAACCCGAAAGGUCGAAAGGGGAAGAUUUCAGCGUUGUCCUCGAUCGUGGCGCUGGACGGUCGUGCGACGGACGGCGUACGCGUCGUUUCGCGCCUUUCGUUCUCCGAACUGCGUUCGAACGCGUGCACUUCUCCCCCUGUAGGACGUCGCGAUUCGUUGGGUGCCGGCCUAAGGCUCGAGGUGGAGUUCGUCCGGACGUUUCGGCGUUCGUGACGAACCCUCGGUGUUUCCCGGUCGGCUCGCUCGACGAUAUACAGAUGGCGCGGGGCCGCUACAUUAGAGUUAGCGUUCGACCUUCGGCAAGCGCGCUCCUCGCGACGGUGAUACGGACCCGGUGCCGGUCCCGUCCCCGGGCGACUGUUGGCCGAGGUGUUCUCGAAACAGGACCUUCGUCGAAAACGCCGAUCUGCGGACGCUAUAGCUUUGGGUACUUUCAGGACCCGUCUU
RNAcentral lists this ribosomal RNA (466 nucleotides) under Gnaptorina tishkovi. RNAcentral's name for it is "partial 28S ribosomal RNA". Lineage: Eukaryota; Metazoa; Arthropoda; Insecta; Coleoptera; Tenebrionidae. The record is from RNAcentral.